This 447-nucleotide unclassified non-coding RNA is filed under the name Hevea brasiliensis (rubber tree). Lineage: Eukaryota; Viridiplantae; Streptophyta; Magnoliopsida; Malpighiales; Euphorbiaceae. The record is from RNAcentral.
CAGGACCAACAGGUCCAGCUCCAAUACACCAAAAGAAUGCAGCCAUAACCAAUCAGAAAAGAGGAUAAAAUAGCAGAGUGAAAGGGCAAGCAUGAUCACUACAAAGCCACGCAGAGGACGCACAUGGCAAGCAAAACCAAAAAAAAUAAAAAGCUGACAAGACCAAACUUCUUCAUUGCUCAGUCUCUGCCUGGCCAGUGCAUCAGGGCAUCAGCAAUGGAGUUUGCCUCUCAAAGGAUGUGACAAAAAUAACAAGGGGCAGAUCUUUCAACCUUUCAAUGAUAAAAUUAACGGUUGAAGCGAAUUGCCAAGUUGCAGAAUCUGGAUGCAAGACCCAUGACGUUUCAUGCUUAGAAUCUGACUCUUCAAAAAUAGAGGAGGCGGACCUGCAUAAUUCAGGCAAGGACGCUGAUAACUCCAGAGUGUUGGCGAAGAAUUAGAGAGCAG